Molecule: transfer-messenger RNA, 354 nt
Filed under: Limnochordia
Lineage: Bacteria; Bacillati; Bacillota
Also listed under: 1 other name
Description: JAAZMN01 sp012798795 Standard tmRNA
Rfam family: transfer-messenger RNA
About the family: Bacterial tmRNA, also known as 10Sa RNA or SsrA, is named for its dual tRNA and mRNA-like properties. Its role is to liberate the mRNA from a stalled ribosome.
Source: RNAcentral
GGGGGUGAACCAGGUUCGACAUGGGUAGGAAGGGCAUCAUAAGCGAGCCGAGGUCCCCAACACCUCGAUAAACCUUGGGAACUUAAAUUAAUUGCAAACAAUAAGUGUAAUUUAGCCGCUGCUUAGCAGGCUAACGCCUCUUUAUUCUUCGCCUGUGAGAAUAGAUUAGGUGUCAACUUAGCAGGCUACUUAAUCAGUUUUACCUGGAACUGAUCAAGGAAUCUUACAGGUUAGUCAAUUACUCAUCUGGUUGCAGAGAGGUUUAAUUGAUGAAAUAUAAAGCUGCAGCUGCGCUCGGAGAAAAUGGUGUGAUUUCACUCAUGGACAGCGGUGCAAAUCCGCUCACCUCCACCA